RNAcentral lists this ribosomal RNA (384 nucleotides) under uncultured bacterium. Its description in RNAcentral is "bacterial SSU rRNA". It matches the Rfam family "Bacterial small subunit ribosomal RNA", at positions 360 to 763 of the family's 1533-position model. The record is from RNAcentral.
AAUCUUCCACAAUGGGCGAAAGCCUGAUGGAGCGACGCCGCGUGAGGGAUGAAGGCCUUAGGGUUGUAAACCUCUAAAAGAGGGACGAUAAUGACGGUACCUCUUGAAUAGCACCGGCUAACUCCGUGCCAGCAGCCGCGGUAAUACGGAGGGUGCAAGCGUUAUCCGGAAUCACUGGGCGUAAAGGGCGCGUAGGCGGUCUGUUAAGUCCGAUGUUAAAUCCCGGGGCUCAACCCCGGAUAAGCGUUGGAUACUGGCAGGCUAGACGGUUGGGAAGGCGAGUGGAAUUACCAGUGUAGCGGUGGAAUGCGUAGAUGCUUGUAGGAACACCUAUUGCGAAGGCAGCUCGCUGGACAACACGUGACGCUGAGGCGCGAAAGUGUG